RNAcentral lists this unclassified non-coding RNA (230 nucleotides) under uncultured Ceratobasidiaceae. RNAcentral describes it as "partial internal transcribed spacer 2". The record is from RNAcentral. Lineage: Eukaryota; Fungi; Basidiomycota; Agaricomycetes; Cantharellales; Ceratobasidiaceae.
AAAUCUUCAAAGUAAAAUCUUUUGUUAAUUCAAUUGGUUUUGCCUUGGUCUUGGAGGUCUUUGCAGCUUCACACCUGCUCCUCUUUGUGUAUUAGCUGGAUCUCAGUGUUAUGCUUGGUUCCACUCGGCGUGAUAAGUUAUCUAUCGCUGAGGACACUGUAAUAGGUGGCCAAGGGAAACGCAGAUGAACCGCUUCUAAUAGUCCAUUGACUUGGACACUAUUUUUUAUG